Molecule: ribosomal RNA, 338 nt
Filed under: Bacillus cereus
Lineage: Bacteria; Bacillati; Bacillota; Bacilli; Caryophanales; Bacillaceae
Description: bacterial SSU rRNA
Rfam family: Bacterial small subunit ribosomal RNA
Source: RNAcentral
CCGUGCAUCUACUAGAGAGGAGGGGAUCGUGCUGCAAUGGCACGGUACAAAGAGCUGCAAGACCGCGAGUGGGAGCUAAUCUCAUAAAACCGUUCUCAGUUCGGAUUGUAGGCUGCAACUCGCCUACAUGAAGCUGGAAUCGCUAGUAAUCGCGGAUCAGCAUGCCGCGGUGAAUACGUUCCCGGGCCUUGUACACACCGCCCGUCACACCACGAGAGUUUGUAACACCCGAAGUCGGUGGGGUAACCUUUUUGGAGCCAGCCGCCUAAGGUGGGACAGAUGAUUGGGGUGAAGUCGUAACAAGGUAGCCGUAUCGGAAGGUGCGGUUGAAUAACCUC